GAUGGACGCUGGCGGCGUGCCUAAUACAUGCAAGUCGAGCGAACGGACGAGGAGCUUGCUUCUCUGAUGUUAGCGGCGGACGGGUGAGUAACACGUGGAUAACCUACCUAUAAGACUGGGAUAACUUCGGGAAACCGGAGCUAAUACCGGAUAAUAUUUUGAACCGCAUGGUUCAAAAGUAAAAGACGGUCUUGCUGUCACUUAUAGAUGGAUCCGCGCUGCAUUAGCUAGUUGGUAAGGUAACGGCUUACCAAGGCAACGAUGCAUAGCCGACCUGAGAGGGUGAUCGGCCACACUGGAACUGAGACACGGUCCAGACUCCUACGGGAGGCAGCAGUAGGGAAUCUUCCGCAAUGGGCGAAAGCCUGACGGAGCAACGCCGCGUGAGUGAUGAAGGUCUUCGGAUCGUAAAACUCUGUUAUUAGGGAAGAACAUAUGUGUAAGUAACUGUGCACAUCUUGACGGUACCUAAUCAGAAAGCCACGGCUAACUACGUG
RNAcentral lists this ribosomal RNA (497 nucleotides) under uncultured bacterium. Its description in RNAcentral is "partial 16S ribosomal RNA". It matches the Rfam family "Bacterial small subunit ribosomal RNA", at positions 28 to 507 of the family's 1533-position model. The record is from RNAcentral.